This 501-nucleotide ribosomal RNA is filed under the name uncultured bacterium. RNAcentral describes it as "partial 16S ribosomal RNA". It matches the Rfam family "Bacterial small subunit ribosomal RNA", at positions 30 to 523 of the family's 1533-position model. The record is from RNAcentral.
AUUGAACGCUGGCGGCAUGCCUUACACAUGCAAGUCGAACGGCAGCACGGGUGCUUGCACCUGGUGGCGAGUGGCGAACGGGUGAGUAAUAUAUCGGAACGUACCUUAUUGUGGGGGAUAACGCAGCGAAAGCUGUGCUAAUACCGCAUAAUCCCUAAGGGGGAAAGCGGGGGACCGUAAGGCCUCGCGCAAUUAGAGCGGCCGAUACCUGAUUAGCUAGUUGGUGGGGUAGAGGCUCACCAAGGCAACGAUCAGUAGCUGGUCUGAGAGGACGAUCAGCCACACUGGGACUGAGACACGGCCCAGACUCCUACGGGAGGCAGCAGUGGGGAAUUUUGGACAAUGGGGGCAACCCUGAUCCAGCAAUGCCGCGUGAGUGAAGAAGGCCUUCGGGUUGUAAAGCUCUUUUGUCAGGGAAGAAACAGCAGCUCUAACACAGUAUGCGAAUGACGGUACCUGAAGAAUAAGCACCGGCUAACUACGUGCCAGCAGCCGCCGUAA